ACCUUUGGGGCAGGGUGAAAUUCCCGAUCGGCGGUAUAGUCCGCGAGCAUGGCCAAGCCGUGCAGGAGCCGGUGUGAUUCCGGUACCGACAGUAUAGUCUGGAUGAUAAAAGGUG
Molecule: non-coding RNA, 115 nt
Filed under: uncultured Phascolarctobacterium sp.
Lineage: Bacteria; Bacillati; Bacillota; Negativicutes; Acidaminococcales; Acidaminococcaceae
Description: FMN riboswitch (RFN element)
Rfam family: FMN riboswitch aptamer (RFN element)
About the family: The RFN element is a highly conserved domain that is found frequently in the 5'-untranslated regions of prokaryotic mRNAs that encode for flavin mononucleotide (FMN) biosynthesis and transport proteins. This element is a metabolite-dependent riboswitch that directly binds FMN in the absence of proteins.
Source: RNAcentral